Molecule: ribosomal RNA, 499 nt
Filed under: uncultured bacterium
Lineage: Bacteria
Description: partial 16S ribosomal RNA
Rfam family: Bacterial small subunit ribosomal RNA
Source: RNAcentral
GAUGAACGCUGGCGGCGUGCCUAAUACAUGCAAGUCGAGCGAACAGACGAGAGUGCUUGCACUCUCUGACGUUAGCGGCGGACGGGUGAGUAACACGUGGGUAACCUACCUAUAAGACUGGGAUAACUUCGGGAAACCGGAGCUAAUACCGGAUAAUAUCUAGCUUCGCAUGAAGCAAUAGUGAAAGACGGUUCUGCUGUCACUUAUAGAUGGACCCGCGGUGUAUUAGCUAGUUGGUGAGGUAACGGCUCACCAAGGCAACGAUACAUAGCCGACCUGAGAGGGUGAUCGGCCACCCUGGGACUGAGACACGGCCCAGACUCCUACGGGAGGCAGCAGUAGGGAAUCUUCCGCAAUGGACGAAAGUCUGACGGAGCAAUGCCGCGUGAGUGAAGAAGGUUUUCGGAUCGUAAAACUCUGUUGUAAGGGAAGAACAAGUACGUUAGUAACUGAACGUACCUUGACGGUACCUUACCAGAAAGCCACGGCUAACUACGUG